Molecule: non-coding RNA, 47 nt
Organism: Emiliania huxleyi CCMP1516
Lineage: Eukaryota; Haptophyta; Isochrysidales; Noelaerhabdaceae
Source: Rfam
AACCCGGUGUUUCUAAACACCACCCUAUAUUCUAAAAUCGGCGGUCG